This 793-nucleotide ribosomal RNA is filed under the name uncultured bacterium. Its description in RNAcentral is "bacterial SSU rRNA". It matches the Rfam family "Bacterial small subunit ribosomal RNA", at positions 8 to 796 of the family's 1533-position model. The record is from RNAcentral.
AGAGUUUGAUCCUGGCUCAGGACGAACGCUGGCGGCGUGCUUAACACAUGCAAGUCGAACGGUGAAGCCCAGCUUGCUGGGUGGAUGAGUGGCGAACGGGUGAGUAACACGUGAGUAACCUGCCCCCUUCUUCUGGAUAACUGCCCGAAAGGGUGGCUAAUACGGGAUAUUCUUUUCCUGCCGCAUGGUGGGUUUUGGAAAGGUUUUUUCUGGUGGGGGAUGGGCUCGCGGCCUAUCAGCUUGUUGGUGGGGUGAUGGCCUACCAAGGCGGUGACGGGUAGCCGGCCUGAGAGGGUGGACGGCCACACUGGGACUGAGACACGGCCCAGACUCCUACGGGAGGCAGCAGUGGGGAAUAUUGCACAAUGGGCGCAAGCCUGAUGCAGCGACGCCGCGUGAGGGAUGGAGGCCUUCGGGUUGUAAACCUCUUUCGCCAGUGAAGCAGGCCAUGCCCGUGUGGUGUGGUUGACGGUAGCUGGAUAAGAAGCGCCGGCUAACUACGUGCCAGCAGCCGCGGUAAUACGUAGGGCGCGAGCGUUGUCCGGAAUUAUUGGGCGUAAAGAGCUCGUAGGCGGCUGGUCGCGUCUGCCGUGAAAUCCCCUGGCUUAACUGGGGGCUUGCGGUGGGUACGGGCCGGCUUGAGUGCGGUAGGGGAGACUGGAACUCCUGGUGUAGCGGUGGAAUGCGCAGAUAUCAGGAAGAACACCGGUGGCGAAGGCGGGUCUCUGGGCCGUUACUGACGCUGAGGAGCGAAAGCGUGGGGAGCGAACAGGAUUAGAUACCCUGGUAGUCC